This 75-nucleotide transfer RNA is filed under the name Ictidomys tridecemlineatus (thirteen-lined ground squirrel). Its description in RNAcentral is "Spermophilus tridecemlineatus (thirteen-lined ground squirrel) tRNA". It matches the Rfam family "tRNA". From Rfam's summary of the family: Transfer RNA (tRNA) molecules are approximately 80 nucleotides in length. Their secondary structure includes four short double-helical elements and three loops (D, anti-codon, and T loops). Further hydrogen bonds mediate the characteristic L-shaped molecular structure. tRNAs have two regions of fundamental functional importance: the anti-codon, which is responsible for specific mRNA codon recognition, and the 3' end, to which the tRNAs corresponding amino acid is attached (by aminoacyl-tRNA synthetases). tRNAs cope with the degeneracy of the genetic code in two manners: having more than one tRNA (with a specific anti-codon) for a particular amino acid; and 'wobble' base-pairing, i.e. permitting non-standard base-pairing at the 3rd anti-codon position. The record is from Rfam by way of RNAcentral. Lineage: Eukaryota; Metazoa; Chordata; Mammalia; Rodentia; Sciuridae.
GGAGAUGUGGCUCAGUGGUAGAGCACUUGCUUAUUAGCAUGUGCAAGGCCCUGGUUUCAAUCCCCAGCACCACCA